Helicoverpa zea (corn earworm) is the source of this 1193-nucleotide long non-coding RNA. RefSeq lists it as uncharacterized. The record is from RefSeq and is a predicted model, not a curated record. NCBI's taxonomy places the organism in Eukaryota, Metazoa, Arthropoda, Insecta, Lepidoptera, Noctuidae. The transcript is spliced from 2 exons.
UUUACAUUAUUCCAGUCCAGCGAUCCAGUCCAGUACUGGAUUGCUUACUGGAAAAAUGUAAACCGGCACUGGAAUGAACUGAAUCCAGUAAGCAUUCCAGUCCAGUAACUGGAUUUGCGGUCUACUUUUGAAUCCAGUGCGACCAAUCCAGUGCAACUGGAAUAAUGUAGACGGCCAAUCCAGUGCUAUUCCAGUGCUGACGAGGUACACAUGUGUUGGUUGUUUUUGCGGACUUUUUUUGCAAAGAAAAAGGAUUUAACAAUGGUGAAGAAGUUAUCUGAAGACGAAACUGUAAAGUUUGUCACUAUAUACAGAAAAAUCCGUGUUUAUGGGAUAUAACAUCAGAACAUUAUAAAAACAAAGCUAUGCGCCAAACUGCUUUGCAAAAUCUGUGCAUUGGUAUGGAAAUUGAAGGAUUCACACCGGAAGAUGUGAAAAACAAAAUAAAAAGUAUUCGUUCGACAUACUACCUUGAACUAGACAAGAUUAAGAAAUCAUCCACAUCUGGUGCUAGUGGCAAUGUUUACCAACCCAAAGUGAAAUGGUUCGCCGAAUUCAAUUCAUUUAUAAAAAAUGUGAUGGAUAAGCGUAAAACACAGGAAAAUACUGAUGAUGCUCAAAAUAAAGAAAAUACUGACAAUACUCAACCUAGUGCCCAAUGGGAACCCUAUCCAUACAAACCCAGAACCAAGUCUAUCAGAACCGCGAAAGAAAAGAAGUAAAAUUUCACAGCUGUCUACAAUAGUCAGUAGCAUGAAAGAUAUGCAAUACGAUUUAUCCAAAUCAGAAACAGUGGAAGAUGAAUUCGACAUUUUCGGGAAACACAUUGCGAAGCAAUUAAGAACCCUUUCUACAGAACAGGCUAUCCUAGGCCAAGAAGAAAUACAGAGUGUGAUAACAAAAUGUCGACUACACGAUUUGAGAUACGGAAAUAUGACAGUGAAUUCUGCAAACACACAUGCCAGUGACAAUUCGUCAAGACCAAAUAACAAUUUAUGCGUCAAGACCAAGCACGAGUAGUAGUACUUAUACGCCAUUGAAUAGUCCAGCGUCUGUAGAUACACAAACCACCGAGGACUCGUUAAAUAUAGUAAGCGAUGACCCAGAAUAUAUUAAUAUAAUUAUGAAUGCUUUCAAUAAUGCUUAAUUGUAUUAGAUAUGAUACUUACUUAAUAAAAAAAAUAUUACUUUGA